UCCGUCCUAUAUAUUGAUUUUCAUAUUAGUGAGUAAGUAGUACAAUGUCAUUGCAAUGAAGAAGUUGAUAAUAUUAUUGCAUAUAUGUAAGAAAGCAAAUGCAUCUGCUUUGUGUAUUACACAAAUUUCAACUUAUGCUCAUAUGAUAAUUCUCUUUUCGAACUUAAAAGGCUUCUCUAGAGAAAAUUGAGAGACAUGUUCUUCAAAUUGAUCACAAUAGCCAUGUUGCCAUUAAGAUUAGCCACCAAAAUGCUGUAGAAAACAUGACCAAGUGCCUCCACAUGAUUUUAUUGGAAUUGUUGAUUUUAAAAAUCCAAUUUAAAAACAAAACAUUGCUAUGUAAUCAUGAAAACCAAAGAAUUGAAAAAUAACAUCAAAUUUCUUUCCUUCUCUAAGUUCGUUCCUGCAAAACCAGGAAGAAAAAUAAUGUCUUACAUAAAAGAGAGGACACUUUGGCUAAAGCUCUUCAUUUACUGGACUCGGAAAAUUUGCUUACUACCAAAUUUAUUUAUCCCAAAAAUAAAAAGAAAAUACUUUUUGAUAUAGAAGCAUCAUCUAUUGACUACAAAUUUCAAGUAUUUCUUGGGAGUAACAAUGUCACACAAGUAGAUAUGAGAAUUAAGAUGGGCGUCUUCUCCUUAUCAGUUCUAAAAUAUUUCGAGUAGACUCCCUACAUGUGAUUACUUAGGUCAGAUGGUAAGUGUUGAAGCUCCUGUUAGUGUUCGCUCUUUAUCAGAGGUAUCAUGAGACAUAGAUACAAUUCUAAACCUAUUGAUAGAACAUAUAAAUUAUUACCCUGUAUUUUGUUUUUAAUAUAUAACCCGUCUCAUUUCAGCCUUCAAGUACCUUUCUUGUCCAUUUGUUUACCUCAAGUCAGUAACUCCAAAAUGGCAAGAGAACUUUUCAUUGUUAAUGAUAUCUUUGAUAGAGCAUUUUCUACUAACAGCUUGCUCAAACAUGUUGGUCACUUUCCAUGUUAAUGCAGUGAGCCUCAAGUCCAUUUCUCGUGAUUAUAGAUGCUAGAAUAACUAUAAUAUUCAGACGUUGAAGAGUCUAAAGACAUCUCGGAAGCAUUUGACAAAGAAGGGUUAUCCUCAUCCUAGAGAGAAAUCAGUAAGCAUGUUAACUUCAAGUCAUAUGUAUAAUAAGUAAUUACCGAGAAAUAAAAAAUGAUUCAGAAACAAUGAAUUACAUCAAGUGACUAAUAUGCUCUGCCUAUUAAAUUUGUAAGAUUUAAGCUCUAUCUGGUACACUAACUUUAAACUUUAAGUUACGGGACUUAGCACACAGGACCUUUGUUUGUUAUAGGGGAACCAUCUCUAUUAGUCAAGCUUGACAGUCACUACCUAACGUUUUUGGUAAAUAAAAAUUCAAUAUGUCCGAGAAUGAAAAUGAGGACAUAUUCAGCAGAAAGUUUGAAAGUUUAUUGAACCAAAAUAAAUGAUAACCCAAUUACUGCUUAAGGAUAGGGCAUACUUCAGGAAAGGUUGAGAGAAAUAGAAAACCUGAACUCCACAUGAAGUCCCAUUUCAUUAAAAUUCAUCACAUAUCAAAAGAUAGAGAUCAUGCCAAAUCAUAUUAACUUGUAUUGAUGAAUUGUUUAAGGUAAAUUUAAUAGUAGGCUAUGAUUUUAAACAUCCAAUGCAGAAAAAUACUUUAUAUAUCUGCAGAUAGACAUGAACAUAAUCUAAAGCAAAUACAUACAUAUUACAUAGAGUACAAAAGACAAUUGAUCUCGUGCUUCAAUCAUCUUAGGAAUAUCCUCAUGCUAAAGGGAAGAAAUUAUCACUAACAUGGUGCCUCCAUUAGUUGGAGGCACAAGUUAUUCCUAAGUUUAAAUAUCGAUUCAAAACUAUAAAAGAUACUUUGAACAAGAAAAAGAAAGAAGCAGUAAACCAGUGAAAGUGAAUUACCAACCUGACCAGCAAGUGAGAAUAGCAAGAUUCCCCUUGACCUCCUUGGGGAGUUGGCAGUUGAAUUCAUCAAAAGAAUAAACUGAAAACUUAAAGGAUGACAACACCUUUAAGCUUCAAUCUUCAUAUCAAUGUUUGAUGAGCUAUGAAUAACUAAGGUUGUCUAAAUCGAAAUAAACUCAACUACAUAGUAAUCGUGAAGAAAUAGAGAUUACCUUGCAAUGUAUAAGCAUAAAUCUCAUAUCAUAUUUAAGCCAACAUUCUCACCCUACCUGCAAUCAAAUCAGCCAAAUAAACCAAAAAAAGGAGUGUGUAAUCCAUAUAGUGACCCUAAAUAUCAACUCAACUAAUUAAAAUAAUAAAAUCAAAUUCGAAGAAGUGAAAUAAUUAGCUUUAAGUUGUAGAGCAUCUGUUAAAAGAUCAAAGAAUGCAUAUUAUCAAGCACUUCUCUACUGAUCUAUAUCGCAAGAUCCCAACAUUUACAAGUUAUGCUCUUCUAUAUAAUAAAAAAAAAAAGUUUUAGAUUUUUCAUUUCAGGUGAGAUCUAUAGCACAAGAUCCCAGCAUUUAUUGUGAGGUGAUCAUCGGUGUCAGGUUGUGUUUGAUGUUGUUGAUUCUCUUGGUAUUCCUAAAAUGCAAACUUUAAGUAUUGAUGGUGUUUUAGAUCAAUCCCAUUGUUCGAGGAAAUAUCUCGUUUAGUAAAUGAAGAGUCCAACCUAAUUAUAUUUAACAAUUCUUUCCUAAACUAUUACAAUGGAUCUAAUAAUUCCUUUCUCAGAAGAUGGUCAUAGCUUUCUAGAGCAAUCCUUGGUGACUUAUGUUUGUCAUAGUUAAUUUCAGAUUCUUCAAAAAAAAGAGGUAUAAUUUUUUUAAAAAAAAACAGAGAAGUAUAGGAUUUGACUUUCGUACGAUGAAACAUUUAUCCAUACUGCAUAAAGGAAGAACUGCAAUCUUUCAUUUAAGAGCAAUUCUUAGGGGUGCAGUCCUGAGUCACAAACUACUACAUUCAUAUUCACCUCAUUUCUGCAUAAGUAGAACUUGCUAGUAAGUCCACUAAUAAACACUUCUAAACGAUAUCUAGUCAAUAAUCAAGUACAAUGUUAAAGACCAAUAAAUUAGAGAAUAAAUAAAUUUAAAUCAUUAGUCUUUAUAUCAGACAGAAGUUAUCAAGGAUUUUUCAAUUGAUAGUCAUAUUCUCAAUAAGUAAUCAUCAGGAAAAAAAGAGAGGAAAAAACUCACUCUACAUUUUCCUUUUCCUCAAGUUCAUAUAAAUUAACCAAAGCAAUGAAACUGCAUUGAGAGGAAGAGAACUCAAUGUACCAUUAAUCUUUAUGCUUGUGUGUAUUUGAUUUUAGGAAAAUCAAGUAGAAUAAGAGAUAUCAAGUGCAAGUUAGAAGGAAUUUUUUUUUGGUAUGUGCAUGUUAGUCCUUCUUUUCAACCAGAAAGUUACUACAGAGUAAUUCAAAUUGUGCCAAAAAGGAAAAACAUAGCACAAUUUUUUAAAAGGAGAACAAACGUGCACAUACACGACUUUUAUCCUUCAAGAUUUGUGUUAGCAGCAUUAUAUUAAUGGACAUUGCACGAAGAUCAUGUAAAGUUUUUUCCACCACACUGCUUUCUUUCUUUUCUUAGCGUCCACAACUCCCCUGUCUUGUUAGAAGCAAAGCUACUGUCAACAAAAAUCUGAUAUUAAGGCCUUAUGUAGGGGACACUCUAUGAAUUUUUUUUUCCUAUAAAUACAUUUGUUGUAACCUAGAACAGCCCGUAUAUAUAUUGUUCUAAGGAGUUUUUCUUCUCCAUAUUUAAUUCUCCACUACCCACUUCUACUUCUUGACAACUAUCUUGUCUUUGAUUAGAUACACUUAUUUACUUAUAAGAAGAAUAGUAGUUUCAUGGUUAGAACUACUAUAGAUCAAGGCUAGAUGUUGAACAAUCAUGAAGCUAAUGACUAUGUUAAACUUGGCAACUUAAGCAAAUUGGAAUAAAGUAAAGGAUCACAUUUACAUGCUGUUUAUUCUGUAUUAUUAAAGGAUGUUGCGAUUCCAAAGAUGAUCUUCAUGAAAGAUUAAGAAACUACACCGGCCAAAGCUUCAAAAGCAGCCUAGUGGUGUUAGGUUUCCCUCGUUACCUAAGCAUCUAACUUACCAUGCGAGUUUGGAGACUUCUGUUUUAGUUGCCCUGCAUCAUCAUCAUUAUAAAAGUUGAUUAAAAAUUUUAGUGGCCGGUAUGAAGUCGAUGACUUAAGGGAGAAGAGGAAUGCAAUAAAGUCACAGCAAGCAGAAGAAUUUAGCUAAACUAUAAAGGAUGUGACGAUGUGAAUGAAAAUCAUUUGCUAUUAAUUAAAAGUUAGGAAAUUUUCUAAUUAGCUUUAAGCGUUUAUUUUCUUUGUUGAUACUUACAUAGAUUACCACUAAGAGUGAUGAAUAGCAUGCUGCAAAAUGUGGAUGCAAUUAUGUCUCAGACUGACUCGACACUAAGUAUAAUGUGUCAGUUUAAUGCUAUCAGUUUUCUCUGACUACUUGAGUUUAUGAAGCUUAGCGUUGUAUCGUAUAGAUAUAAUCUUCUAAAAAUAGAAAAUAUGACUAAUUUAAAACCAAGCUCUGCAUUUGUUCUUAUCAUGUUCAAAAGGUUCCUUUUAGAAGUUCGCAAAGUUUGUAUUCCAAUAAAUAAAUUCUACAUCUUUCACAAAGUACAAUCUUCAAGAAAAAUAAUUUUACCAAAUAAACAAAAUAAAGUACGGCUAUAUAUAAAUCUUUAAACCUAAACCUAGGAUAAAAGGCAUGUAAUCUGAAGUUCUGUUCAAUGGGAUGUAGCUUAUUGACUGCUAUGUGCAUACAUUGAAGGGAAAUGAACAAGAAAGCCUUGAAGGUGCACUUAUAAGGACUCGGUUAGUAUAGAUGCUUGAGUAUUUUUUUAGAGAACCUUUUAUUUCUUUCUUACAUUUGGUUGUGAAGGGGUGUACGAAAUGAUUUCUGUAUUUUUUCUAAGACGAUGUUAAUCCUACUUCUUACAAGAAAUUGAAAAUCAAGAAAGUCGGAAUGUCACCAUAACCUUGAAGACCAAAGCAGAUGGGUUUGUUCAUAGUAAAUCGCAAUUCCUCUGACCUAAAAGAGCAUACACUAAUAUUAAGAAGUACUAUAAAAAUUUCAAGUGAAAAAAGAACAUGAAGAAGAAUCCCUAUUCAAGUUGUUGGUUCAGACUGGCUACAAAUUGCUUCUUGUUUAAUUCAAACUGAAAGCUAAAUGAAAAUUUGAAUAAAUAAGUAUCUAUUGUCUUUAUGAAAGAACAAUCAUUUUCAUCAAAGAAGCAACCAUGUUACACUUCAAAAAAAAUCUGAAACAAAGCAUCAAAAUUGGAGAAACACUAAUACUUACCCAGUUGUAAUUUCUCCGAUGUAGUUUCCCAUCAAUUUACACACUCUUCCACCUUGAUUAAACUAACCCUUUAAUGUAGUUUCAAUCCCCUUAAUAAAGAAAAAAAAACAUUAAUAGAGAUAGAAUUGAAAGAAAAACAAGAUAGAGUCAUAAUAUCCAACUAAGAAAGUGAAAAGAAUUUUGCUCCAUAGAACCACAAAAAGGAAGUAUCAAUUCAUACCUUGUUUUAAAAAAAUUCAGAGAAUUUUCAUACAAAUGGAUGAUUCGAGAUUCGUUUGAAGGAUUUGCGAUUGGUUUCGAUGGUAACAAUGGAGGGUAGCCCCCCCUCGAGGAUUUGUCCAUGGAGGAGUAAGGAGAUCGGUGAUACUUUCAGAUUGUAAUGAAAUUUUAUGGUGGAGACGGAGAGUGAGAGAGUGGAGAGAUGAAGAUUCUAGAGUGAACCUAAAGCUUCUCGAAUGAACAUAAAAAAUAUUUAUGAUGACUAACAAAUCAUAAUUACAACUUUGCCCUCAGAUGAUUGGUAUAAUAUCUGUUUUGCCAUUG
Molecule: long non-coding RNA, 5829 nt
Filed under: Solanum tuberosum (potato)
Lineage: Eukaryota; Viridiplantae; Streptophyta; Magnoliopsida; Solanales; Solanaceae
Description: long non-coding RNA (STUB_LNC011401)
Source: RNAcentral